Molecule: long non-coding RNA, 878 nt
Organism: Anguilla rostrata (American eel)
Lineage: Eukaryota; Metazoa; Chordata; Actinopteri; Anguilliformes; Anguillidae
Exons: 4
Source: RefSeq, a predicted model, not a curated record
CAGGACGCGCACUCAGACUCCUCUUGCUCUCUCUCGAAGACCUCUGAAAGAAACCACAGAAGAUGGCCCAGUUUAAUCUGUCCCCAGUCUGUCUGCUGCUCCUCCUGUCUCUGAGUCUCUUCAGUAUGCAGGCAGAUGCAGCAUGCUGCACUACAUAUUCACAAAGGAAAUUACCAGAGAAAUUGGUCAAGGGCUUCUCCAUUCAAAACAACCGUGGCCAGUGCCACAUCAAUGCAGUCAUUUUCCUUACCUUGAAAGGCAGAAAGGUGUGCGCUGACCCUACCAAAGACUGGGUGAUGGAGAGGAUCAAACAACUGAGGAACACAGUCAAAGAAAUGACCAGAAACGGCAGCCCAAAACAGGGUCAAUGAUAUCACUCUCCUCCGGGGUCAGGUGUUCGAUGACCUCAGCGGAACUGAAGCUCCUGCUGAACUGUGCCAAACAAAUUUAUUACAAUCUCUUAACUGUACUAAAGGAUCUUGUGUUUAAUUGUAAUGCUAACCUAGACGCUGAACUGUGCUGUAUGAUCUUAUCCACAUUUACUAUAGUAUUGUACUGAUUUUGUUAUAUAUGGAGUCACUCAUAUAAAUACAUUGUUUUUGUAAUAAAUUAAUAUUAUUCCAAAAAAUAGGUUUAUAUAUAACAUAUAAUAUAUUAAGUAUAUUAAAGUAUAUAUAAUGUACAUAGUAUGUUGUACUACCAAGUCUUUGGGAAUGAUUUUAUCUCAUUCAAAAGCAUAUCGUUUUUUAAAUAUUAAAGACAAAAGCUGUUAGUUAAAAAAAUAAACCAUGGCUCUUCAAUCAUCUAUCUUAGAAGAGCAUGUAUUGUGCAAUAUCUGGGGAACUAUGUGGCAAUCCUAAUAAAUCUUUACUUCUGCA